Molecule: non-coding RNA, 2352 nt
Organism: Lolium perenne
Lineage: Eukaryota; Viridiplantae; Streptophyta; Magnoliopsida; Poales; Poaceae
Source: RefSeq, a predicted model, not a curated record
CGUCGGGGAGAGAGCACGCAACUCUCCUCCUCCUCUCCCUCGCGCACCUGCCUCCCGCCGCCACCCCGCUCCGCCUCUCCGUUUCUCCUCUUCGUCUUCCUCCUCGCGAGAGGCGGCGGCCGCGUCUCGGCCUCACUCUUCCCCAGUUCCCGCUCGAGCUCCUCCUCAGUCCCCGCAUCUUCUUGGAUGAGCCGCAGCGGGAGCUGUUGUCGAGCAGGACGGAGCCGGACCGAUGGGGAUGGGAUCUCGGAAGGAGCCACAGGCACCACCGCAGGCGUUCGUCCUCACCUCGGCAAGGCUCGUCUCUGUCGGCCGCCGCUGCUCCAUCUCAGCGCUCAAAGGGGCGCGGGCCGCACCGUCGCUCUGCCUCUCCAUCCUCCCGACCGAGCUGCAGGCGAGGGUUGUGGAGACGGGGCUCGAGAAGUCAGCCAGUUCACUUCUGUGCUUGGUGGAUGGAUGUCGUUGACUGCUAAAAGGUUCUUCGUCGUGUCCUCUCAGGGGGCUCGCCAGGCAAGCAGCAGCAGCUUGCUCCGCGAGAGAGAGCAGGCGGUGCCAGGCAGUGUAGGCAGCACUGGAAGGAACUGCUGUACUGGAAUAUCAUCUCGCAUAAGACCCUCUCCAUUAUCCCCUGUUUGAGUCCAUCUAGGACAUCCGCAAUGAGAACAAGCAUAUGGCCAUCCUCUCCUUCCCCUUCAUUGCACGGUUUGUCAGCUAGUGUUCAUUUUUCUACAUAAAUUAGUUUUUCUUUGUGUGCUCAGACCGUGUAGCAUUACUUUGAUGGUUCAGAUUGGAGGAUAGGCUAUUGCAAGAGGGUUUGUUCCGUUUUAUUGAAUGAUCCAUUCAUCCCUUAACAUUAAAGUUAAUGUUGCAGAUUCUACAGAUGUCAUAAACUGCAAAUACCAGUGCAUUGUUAGCUCAUUGAUUUAUUACUAUAUCGGUACAAAUAAGAGAGGUAAGUUGAGACAUGUAUUCUACUUUUCAAGGAGAGAUGUAAAUUGUUGUGUGUUAUUUUUCAAGGAGAAAGGUGAGGCAUGUAUCUUAGUUUUGGAAUGGGAAGCAUAAUAUAUGUCUCUUUGGACAACUCUUUCUUAUUUUGUUUUGCCACAUACCUUCACUGGCGAGUUCUAGAUGAUAUUAUCUUAUAGGGGAAAUUGAUCGAAUUUGAAAUGAGAAUGAUUCCAUUAUUUGUGUACCUGGCCAGGGGCGCUCAUCCGAAAGAAGUACUUGAGGACAUCUUUGAAUUGUAUCAGACACCUUAUUUAUUGGUAAACGUUGGAGCUGUAGAUUAUUGUUUAUACGCUUUCACUGUCACCGGAUACUUGUCUCUUCUGCUUUGGAAACUGCAUAACAAAAAUGAUGGAUUUACUACUUGAUGUUUGAGUUUAUUAUGUAAUUUGUCGGGUGGUUCAUGUUUAGUCAGCAUUAUUUUUCUUUAUGCUUACAUGGCCCCUGUUUUGGAAUUGUUCAACAUUUAUUGUUUAUAUCAAAUGAUUACUGGUUUCCUACAUCCCCUCCAGGGAACAAUCAGAGGGAAAGCUUGAAGGCACUUUAGGUUAUAUUGGUGAUGAUUCCUAUGUUCAAGCGUAUGGUUAGAGUGUUUGGAGCGGUUUUAUGGAUGCCACAAUCAGGAUAAUGCCAUGGCCAUGGCCAUCGCAUAGGGGAGCCAAGCACUAGGGAGACAAAGAGUUGGGAAGGAAGAGAUUAGGAAGAAGGCAAUUUGCAGUUGUUUGGAAAAAGGGGAGGGAUCAAGCUAUUUUCAGGUCAAAUAUUUGUGGGUGAUUACAGUUUCCAAGGGCUUCACCAAUCCGAAAGGUUGAUUCGGAGUGAACAAUUGACUUUGUUGAGCAGCGGCUAACAUUCGCCACUAUCGUCUUCUAUGCCAUGGUUGUAAGCUCUCUUCUCUGUCGCCUCGUGGGCUUUCAGCGUCUCAUCGAUAUGGAAUUGGGGAUUUUAGAACAUGACAGGCUUGACAAUUUAACUGAUUGCAUUUUAUAAGUUUGUGGACUGAAGUGUUCCCACCAGACAAAUUUUACGUACAAAGUACUACAAUUAUAAUUUACUAUUUAAAAUAUGUUAAUUAGUAUACAAAUUUUACGUGCAAUACUUUCACCAAAGUGUUAUUUUCACCUGGCUAGAGGAAGCAUAGAUUCUGAAUUGUUCGGCUAUUUAUUGGCCAAGUAUUAUGAUUGCACAAUUUGCCUGGAGCUACGAGAAGUAUUUUGUUAGACUUAUUCAUCUUCCUUGGCUAGAAGAGGAGCUAGCGAUGCCUGUAUAAUUUGUAUCAUUUUAAUAUUACCAUAUUGCUCUUUAUUGGAAAACAAUUGACAUAAAGUCUUACAACAGUAUCGCUCA